GAUGAACGCUGGCGGCGUGCUUAACACAUGCAAGUCGAACGGUGAAGCAGGAGCUUGCUCUUGUGGAUCAGUGGCGAACGGGUGAGUAACACGUGAGCAACCUGCCCCUGACUCUGGGAUAAGCGCUGGAAACGGCGUCUAAUACUGGAUAUGUGAUGUGACCGCAUGGUCUGCAUCUGGAAAGAAUUUCGGUUGGGGAUGGGCUCGCGGCCUAUCAGCUUGUUGGUGAGGUAAUGGCUCACCAAGGCGUCAACGGGUAGCCGGCCUGAGAGGGUGGCCGGACACACUGGGACUGAGACACGGCCCAGACUCCUACGGGAGGCAGCAGUGGGGAAUAUUGCACAAUGGGCGGAAGCCUGAUGCAGCAACGCCGCGUGAGGGAUGACGGCCUUCGGGUUGUAAACCUCUUUUAGCAGGGAAGAAGCGAAAGUGACGGUACCUGCAGAAAAAGCACCGGCUAACUACGUGCCAGCCGCCGCCGUAA
This 484-nucleotide ribosomal RNA is filed under the name uncultured bacterium. Its description in RNAcentral is "partial 16S ribosomal RNA". It matches the Rfam family "Bacterial small subunit ribosomal RNA", at positions 28 to 523 of the family's 1533-position model. The record is from RNAcentral.